RNAcentral lists this microRNA precursor (202 nucleotides) under Medicago truncatula (barrel medic). Its description in RNAcentral is "MIR2670 microRNA precursor family". It matches the Rfam family "MIR2670 microRNA precursor family". The record is from Rfam by way of RNAcentral. Lineage: Eukaryota; Viridiplantae; Streptophyta; Magnoliopsida; Fabales; Fabaceae.
UUUGAGAUAUAUAGUGAGUAGCCGACUUGGGGAAGUGAUCAACACUUGGGAUAAAAUUAAAUUUGCUUCUUUUUACCCCAAAAACUUUUUACCGUUGGUAAAAAGAAUCUUCUUCGGGGUAUAAAAAGAACCAGAUUUAGAUUUAACUCAAGGGUUGAUGAUGUCUUUUCCCCCAAGAAGGCUGCUCACUAUUUACCCCAAG